Molecule: ribosomal RNA, 497 nt
Filed under: uncultured bacterium
Lineage: Bacteria
Description: partial 16S ribosomal RNA
Rfam family: Bacterial small subunit ribosomal RNA
Source: RNAcentral
GACGAACGCUGGCGGCGUGCCUAAUACAUGCAAGUAGAACGCUGAAGCGAGGAGCUUGCUCUUCUUGGAUGAGUUGCGAACGGGUGAGUAACGCGUAGGUAACCUGCCUGGUAGCGGGGGAUAACUAUUGGAAACGAUAGCUAAUACCGCAUAAAAUGGAUUAUCGCAUGAUAAUCCAUUGAAAGGUCCAACUGCCUCACUACCACAUGGACCUGCGUUGUAUUAGCUAGUUGGUGGGGUAACGGCUCACCAAGGCGACGAUACAUAGCCGACCUGAGAGGGUGGACGGCCACACUGGGACUGAGGCACGGCCCAGACUCCUACGGGAGGGAGCAGUAGGGAAUCUUCGGAAAAGGACGGAAGUCUGACCGAGCAACGCCGCGGGGGUGAAGAAGGUUUUCGGAUCGGAAAGCUCUGUUGUAAGAGAAGAAAGAGUGUGAGAGUGGAAAGUGCACACUGUGACGGUAUCUGACCAGAAAGCGACGGCUAACUACGUG